UUGGUAAAAGUGCUUGUGUCU
This 21-nucleotide non-coding RNA is filed under the name Arabidopsis thaliana (thale cress). Lineage: Eukaryota; Viridiplantae; Streptophyta; Magnoliopsida; Brassicales; Brassicaceae. The record is from RNAcentral.